RNAcentral lists this unclassified non-coding RNA (363 nucleotides) under uncultured bacterium. RNAcentral's name for it is "contains 16S-23S intergenic spacer region". The record is from RNAcentral.
UCCCCGUUACCGGGGCAGUCUGAAUAGAAAAAUCCAACUAUUCAUAAGGGUUGCGCUCGUUGAUGGACUUAACCAAACAUCUCACGACACGAGCUGACGACGGCCAUGCAACAGCUGUCACCAAGUUCAAUAAAGCACUCUCGUCUUUCGACAAAAUUCUUGGGAUGUCAAACCCUGGUAAGGUUUAUCGUUUAUCAUCGAAUUAAAGAACACGCUCCACCGCUUGUGCGGGUCCCCGUCAAUUCCUUUAUGUUUUAGCCUUGCGGCCGUACUCCACAGGCGGGAUGCUUAACGCGUUAGCUUCGCUACGGAAGGGGUCGAUACCCCCCACAGCUAGCAUCCAUCGUUUACGGCGUGGACUAC